GAUGAACGCUGGCGGCGUGCCUAAUACAUGCAAGUCGAGCGAACAGACGAGGAGCUUUCUCCUCUGACGUUAGCGGCGGACGGGUGAGUAACACGUGGAUAACCUACCUAUACGACUGGGGUAACUUCGGGAAACCGUGGCUAAUACCGGAUAAUAUAUUGAACCGCAUGGUUCAAUAGUGGAAGACGGUUUUGCUUUCGCUUAUAGAUGGAUCCGCGCCGCAUUAGCUAGUUGGUUAGGUAACGGCUUACCAAGGCGACGAUGCGUAGCCGACCUGAGAGGGUGGUCGACCACAAUAGAAGUGAGGCGCGGCCGACACUCCUACGAGGGGCAGCAGUAGGGAGUCAUACGGCAUGAGCGACAGCUUGACGGAGCAACGACGCGUGAGGGAUGAUGGUGUUCGGCUCGUAGAGCACUGUUAUCAGGAGUGAACAAAUGUUUAAGUAACUGUGCACGUCUUGACGGUACCUAGUGAGAAAGCCACGGCUAACUACGUG
RNAcentral lists this ribosomal RNA (497 nucleotides) under uncultured bacterium. RNAcentral describes it as "partial 16S ribosomal RNA". It matches the Rfam family "Bacterial small subunit ribosomal RNA", at positions 28 to 507 of the family's 1533-position model. The record is from RNAcentral.